AGAAAAUGACAUAAAUAACAGUUGGGGCAUAAUAAUAAUAAUAAUAAUGUCAGAGAAGAUUACUGGUGAUGAGGAAAUGUAAUCUUACACACAAGGGUUAAAGCAAAUGCCGUGCAAGGAGGGCAUCAAGAAAAGUAUGGGUAAACCGUCUGCCUUUUUUCAUACUUGCAUGCAGAUGGCAAGUCAAAUACAAACGUUGAAACAUUAUCAUGUUGAAAAUAUAAGUAGCUAUUUUAUAAAGGAAAUUAUUGGCUUUUCUUAACUGAUUGAGAUUUUAUACCCAUGAAAUUAAAAC
Molecule: long non-coding RNA, 295 nt
Filed under: Gossypium barbadense (sea-island cotton)
Lineage: Eukaryota; Viridiplantae; Streptophyta; Magnoliopsida; Malvales; Malvaceae
Description: long non-coding RNA (GBAR_LNC003975)
Source: RNAcentral